Long non-coding RNA from Daphnia pulex (common water flea), 842 nucleotides. RefSeq lists it as uncharacterized. The record is from RefSeq and is a predicted model, not a curated record. The transcript is spliced from 3 exons. Lineage: Eukaryota; Metazoa; Arthropoda; Branchiopoda; Diplostraca; Daphniidae.
UCAAUGAUGACACCAACGCAAAAAAGCGUAACAGCCGCUUUGAUUUCACUCCUACAGAACCCAUGAAUGAUUGUAAGGUUGCCUAACGCACAUUGCCAAGCCCCAUCUUCAUUCGUUCUUCUUCCACCCCUACAGAUCAGUACCAACAGAAUUCCAUCAUGGUCCUUUGUUUCCCACCUGACGAAAUCAUUGCCACCGAGGGUGAUCUCGUUGCAUUUGAGCGUCGCAUUUUCCUCAUUUUCCGUUGGAUCAAUAUAUUUACCUAUUUUCACUUUGCCGUCUGCACUGUCAGUUCUGUGGCCGAUCGUCAAGCCGUUGUCCAUCAAAAUGGAGAAAGAAUUACCGUAGGCGUCGAUUCUCCGUGGAUUGAUAUCUGGCGUCAGUGUCUCUCAACUCGAAUCGUGGAGAAGACCAUCAGAAAUCUGUGUGACAAACACGGCGGUCGAGUCAACAACCUGGAUGAGGCUGCUAGAGCAAAAGGACUGCGGCCAUUCAGACCUGACGUGAUUGUUGAAAGGGCCCGGGGAGUUCUCAGGGCAAAUCGUGUCAUUGAUUACCAUUUGUUGGAAAAAAAUUGUGAACAUUUUGCUACCAAAUGUCGAUAUGGGAAAGGCUUUAGUCUCCAAGUUAGUGAUUGUUGUCCGGCACCUUUCACAUUUGUUUUUAGGUUGUGCUCAUCGAUUCGCAAUUUCUGUUGCUCACUAAGACGUUCAUAAGAGGUUUAUGUAAUGAAUAGGCUCAUUGAUGUAGUCAAGCAGGAUUAAAACCAAACCUGAUUAAAUUGAACAAGUGUAGUAAUCUUUAAUGUAAUUCAUUGUUAGGACCCAAAGAUGCAAAUUACA